RNAcentral lists this ribosomal RNA (253 nucleotides) under uncultured bacterium. Its description in RNAcentral is "partial 16S ribosomal RNA". It matches the Rfam family "Bacterial small subunit ribosomal RNA", at positions 524 to 776 of the family's 1533-position model. The record is from RNAcentral.
UACGGAGGGUGCAAGCGUUGCUCGGAAUUAUUGGGCGUAAAGGGUAGGUAGGUGGUCUCAUUUGUCUGGGGUGAAAGCUUUGAGCUUAACUCAAGAAGUGCCCCAGAAACGGUGAGACUGGAGUCCUGGAGAGGGUCGUGGAAUUCCCGGUGUAGCGGUGAAAUGCGUAGAGAUCGGGAGGAACACCAGAGGCGAAAGCGGCGACCUGGACAGGUACUGACACUCAACUACGAAAGCGUGGGGAGCAAACAGG